Molecule: ribosomal RNA, 309 nt
Filed under: uncultured bacterium
Lineage: Bacteria
Description: bacterial SSU rRNA
Rfam family: Bacterial small subunit ribosomal RNA
Source: RNAcentral
GACGAACGCUGGCGGCAUGCCUAAUACAUGCAAGUCGAGCGAAUGAUGAAGAAGCUUGCUUCUUCUGAUUUAGCGGCGGACGGGCGAGUAACACGUGAGUAACCUGCCCUUGACUUUGGGAUAACUUCAGGAAACUGGGGCUAAUACCGGAUAGGAGCUCCUGCUGCAUGGUGGGGUUGGAAAGUUUCGGCGGUUGGGGAUGGACUCGCGGCUUAUCAGCUUGUUGGUGGGGUAGUGGCUUACCAAGGCUUUGACGGGUAGCCGGCCUGAGAGGGUGACCGGCCACAUUGGGACUGAGAUACGGCCCAG